CUGAGUACGGCGGAACACGUGAAAUUCCGUCGGAAUCCGGGAGGACCAUCUCCCAAGGCUAAAUACUCCCUAGUGACCGAUAGUGAACCAGUACCGUGAGGGAAAGGUGAAAAGCACCCCGGAAGGGGAGUGAAACAGUUCCUGAAACCGUGUGCCUACAAGUAGUUAGAGCCCGUUAAUGGGUGAUAGCGUGCCUUUUGUAGAAUGAACCGGCGAGUUACGAUUUGUUGCAAGGUUAAGCGGAAAAAGCGGAGCCGUAGCGAAAGCGAGUCUGAAUAGGGCGCAUAAGUAACAGGUCGUAGACCCGAAACCAGGUGAUCUACCCAUGUCCAGGAUGAAGGUAAGGUAAUACUUACUGGAGGUCCGAACCCACGCACGUUGAAAAGUGCGGGGAUGAGGUGUGGGUAGCGGAGAAAUUCCAAUCGAACUUGGAGAUAGCUGGUUCUCUCCGAAAUAGCUUUAGGGCUAGCCUCGAGGUAAAGAGUCAUGGAGGUAGAGCACUGUUUGGACUAGGGGCCCUUCUCGGGUUACCGAAUUCAGAUAAACUCCGAAUGCCAUGUACUUAUACUCGGGAGUCAGACUGCGAGUGAUAAGAUCCGUAGUCGAAAGGGAAACAGCCCAGACCACCAGUUAAGGUCCCCAAAUAUAUGUUAAGUGGAAAAGGAUGUGGGGUUGCUUAGACAACCAGGAUGUUGGCUUAGAAGCAGCCACCAUUGAAAGAGUGCGUAAUAGCUCACUGGUCGAGUGACCCCGCGCCGAAAAUGUACCGGGGCUAAACAUAUUACCGAAACUGUGGAUGAACCUCUUUAGAGGUUCGUGGUAGGAGAGCGUUCUAAGGGCGGUGAAGUCAGACCGGAAGGACUGGUGGAGCGCUUAGAAGUGAGAAUGCCGGUAUGAGUAGCGAAAGAAGGGUGAGAAUCCCUUCCACCGAAUAUCUAAGGUUUCCUGAGGAAGGCUCGUCCGCUCAGGGUUAGUCGGGACCUAAGCCGAGGCCGAUAGGCGUAGGCGAUGGACAACAGGUAGAGAUUCCUGUACCAGUGCUAAUUGUUUAACCGAUGGGGUGACACAGAAGGAUAGGGAAUCGCACGAAUGGAAAUGUGCGUCCAAGCAGUGAGUGUGAGAAGUAGGCAAAUCCGCUUCUCGCGAAGCAUGAGCUGUGAUGGGGAAGGAAAUUAAGUACGGAAGUUCCUGAUUUCACGCUGUCAAGAAAAGCCUCUAGGAAGAGUAGUACUGCCCGUACCGCAAACCGACACAGGUAGAUGAGGAGAGAAUCCUAAGGUGAGCGAGAGAACUCUCGUUAAGGAACUCGGCAAAAUGACCCCGUAACUUCGGGAGAAGGGGUGCUCUAUUAGGGUGCAAGCCCGAGAGAGCCGCAGUGAAUAGGCCCAGGCGACUGUUUAGCAAAAACACAGGUCUCUGCAAAACCGUAAGGUGACGUAUAGGGGCUGACGCCUGCCCGGUGCUGGAAGGUUAAG
This 1475-nucleotide ribosomal RNA is filed under the name Listeria monocytogenes. RNAcentral describes it as "partial 23S ribosomal RNA". It matches the Rfam family "Bacterial large subunit ribosomal RNA", at positions 408 to 1881 of the family's 2925-position model. Lineage: Bacteria; Bacillati; Bacillota; Bacilli; Caryophanales; Listeriaceae. The record is from RNAcentral.